GACGAACGCUGGCGGCGUGCUUAACACAUGCAAGUCGAACGGAAAGGCCCUGCUUUUGUGGGGUGCUCGAGUGGCGAACGGGUGAGUAACACGUGAGUAACCUGCCCUUGACUUUGGGAUAACAUCACGAGACUGGGGCUCAUACCGGAUAGGAGCUCCUGCUGCAUGGUGGGGGUUGGAAAGUUUCGGCGGUUGGGGAUGGACUGGCGGCUUAUCAGCUUGUUGGUGGGGUAGUGGCUUACCAAGGCUUGGAAGGGUAGGCGGCCUGGGAGGGGUACCGGCCACAAUGGGACUGAGAUACGGCCCAGAAUCGUACGGGAGGCAGCAGUGGGGAAUAUUGCGCAAUGGGCGGAAGCCUGAUGCAGCAACGCCGCGUGCGGGAUGACGGCCUUCGGGUUGUAAACCGCUUUCGCCUGUGACGAAGCGUGAGUGACGGUAAUGGGUAAAGAAGCACCGGCUAACUACGUG
RNAcentral lists this ribosomal RNA (468 nucleotides) under uncultured bacterium. RNAcentral's name for it is "partial 16S ribosomal RNA". It matches the Rfam family "Bacterial small subunit ribosomal RNA", at positions 28 to 507 of the family's 1533-position model. The record is from RNAcentral.